This 1379-nucleotide ribosomal RNA is filed under the name uncultured bacterium. RNAcentral describes it as "bacterial SSU rRNA". It matches the Rfam family "Bacterial small subunit ribosomal RNA". The record is from RNAcentral.
UUGAUCCUGGCUCAGGAUGAACGCUGGCGGCAUGCCUAAUACAUGCAAGUCGAACGAGGGUCCUUCGGGACUCGAGUGGCGAACGGGUGAGUAACACGUAGGGAACCUGCCCGUGCGACCGGGAGAACUUUCGGAAACGGAAGCUGAUACCGGAUAGGGACAGAGACGGCAUCGACUCUGUGUUAAAGGAGCUGAAAGGCUCCGCGCACGGAUGGACCUGCGGUGCAUUAGCUAGUUGGUGAGGUAACGGCCCACCAAGGCGACGAUGCAUAGCCGGCCUGAGAGGGCGGACGGCCACACUGGGACUGAGACACGGCCCAGACUCCUACGGGAGGCAGCAGUAGGGAAUUUUCGUCAAUGGGCGCAAGCCUGAACGAGCAAUGCCGCGUGAACGAGGAAGGUCUUCGGAUCGUAAAGUUCUGUUGAAGGGGAAAAAGAGCGGAGAGAGGAAAUGAACUCCGAUUGAUAUUACCCUUCGAGGAAGUCACGGCUAACUACGUGCCAGCAGCCGCGGUAAUACGUAGGUGGCGAGCGUUAUCCGGAAUGAUUGGGCGUAAAGGGUGCGUAGGCGGCCUGCUAAGUCUGGAGUGAAAGGUACCGGCUCAACCGGUACAGGCUCUGGAAACUGGCGGGCUAGAGAGCAGGAGAGGGCGGUGGAACUCCAUGUGUAGCGGUAAAAUGCGUAGAUAUAUGGAAGAACACCAGUGGCGAAGGCGGCCGCCUGGCCUGUUACUGACGCUGAGGCACGAAAGCGUGGGGAGCAAAUAGGAUUAGAUACCCUAGUAGUCCACGCCGUAAACGAUGAGGACCAAGUGUUGGGGAAGACCCAGUGCUGCAGUUAACGCAGUGAGUCCUCCGCCUGGGGAGUAUGCACGCAAGUGUGAAACUCAAAGGAAUUGACGGGGGCCCGCACAAGCGGUGGAGUAUGUGGUUUAAUUCGAAGCAAUGCGAAGAACCUUACCAGGCCUUGACAUAGGGUGCGAAGCUAUGGAGACAUAGUGGAGGUAAACAUCCAUACAGGUGGUGCAUGGUUGUCGUCAGCUCGUGUCGUGAGAUGUUCAGUUAAGUCUGGCAACGAGCGCAACCCUCGUGAUGUGUUACCAAUAUCGAGUUAGGGACUCACAUCAGACUGCCGGUGAGAAACCGGAGGAAGGCGGGGAGGACGUCAAAUCAUCAUGCCCCUUAUGGCCUGGGCUACACACGUACUACAAUGGCGGCGACAGAGGGCAGCGAGCCUGCGAAGGCAAGCGAAUCCCCAAAAAGCCGUCCCAGUUCGGAUUGGAGUCUGCAACCCGACUCCAUGAAGUUGGAAUCGCUAGUAAUCGCGGAUCAGCAUGCCGCGGUGAAUACGUUCUCGGGCCUUGCACACACCGCCCGUC